Molecule: ribosomal RNA, 342 nt
Filed under: Triticum aestivum (bread wheat)
Lineage: Eukaryota; Viridiplantae; Streptophyta; Magnoliopsida; Poales; Poaceae
Description: partial small subunit ribosomal RNA
Source: RNAcentral
CAAGGGCAAGUUGAACGCGUCAACCAAGUUCUCGAAGACAUGCUUCGAGCUUGUGUUAUUUCCUUCGGCAAGAAAUGGGAGGAAUCUCUCCCGUAUGCUGAGUUCUCCUAUAAUAAUAGCUAUCAAGCUAGUCUGAAGAUGGCCCCCUUCGAAGUAUUAUAUGGACGAAAGUGCCGAACCCCUCUGAACUGGUCAGAAACUGGGGAACGUCCACUCUUCGGUCCAGAUAUUAUCCAAGAUGCCGAAGAACAAGUCCGCAUUAUCCGUGAGAAUCUCAAGACUGCUCAGUCACGUCAGAAGAGUCAGUAUGACCGUCAUCAUAAAGACAUGGUCUAUCAACCU